This 539-nucleotide long non-coding RNA is filed under the name Marmota monax (woodchuck). Lineage: Eukaryota; Metazoa; Chordata; Mammalia; Rodentia; Sciuridae. The record is from RNAcentral.
GUUUUGUGAGUUUUAAAGUACUUUAAUGCAGCUGGGGAAGUUAUAGAUGCUGGUAGUUGGAGGAAACUGCUUGCAGAGACAAGGUUGCUAAGGACUAGAAAAACCUGAGCAUUCUGCUUGAAACCUGGAGCAAUAGGAAUGUAAGGAAGGGGAAUUCAAGGAACAUUAUCUGGUCAUUAAUUCAAAAGUUUGGGUAGCCACUGUGCUAGCAGGAGGUUUUGGGAAAGUAGCACAUGGGGCUUGAAUUCCCACAGGGCGAGAUAGUAUAAAUGCCAUCCUACAUGAUUACAGACUGGGGCAAAGGUUGGGGAACAGUGCAUUGUAACUGAGCCAAGACCUAGAGGUGAUAAGGCUGAGUCACUUAAGUCGGUAUUGGAGGCAAAACAGGAAGUAGCAGGUUUGAAGGCACCAUAUUGAGGAAUGGAUUUACUUAAGCCUGGGAGGCUGAAGGUGAUUGGAAGUGAUCAUUCAGGACCUGAUGUGUCAGUGAAGAUUCUGGAUUUUGCAAAAAUUAAACUGAAAAUGGCUUAAGCAAGGGA